UACGGGAGGCAGCAGUAGGGAAUUCUUCCGCAAUGGACGAAANUCUGACGGAGCANCGCCCGCGUGAGUGAUGAAGGUUUUCGGAUCGUAAAACUCUGUUGUUAGGGAAGAACAAGUACCGGAGUAACUGCCGGUACCUUGACGGUACCUAACCAGAAAGCCACGGCUAACUACGUGCCAGCAGCCGCGGUAAUACGUAGGUGGCAAGCGUUGUCCGGAAUUAUUGGGCGUAAAGCGCGCGCAGGCGGUUCCUUAAGUCUGAUGUGAAAGCCCACGGCUCAACCGUGGAGGGUCAUUGGAAACUGGGGAACUUGAGUGCAGAAGAGAAGAGUGGAAUUCCACGUGUAGCGGUGAAAUGCGUAGAGAUGUGGAGGAACACCAGUGGCGAAGGCGGCUCUCUGGUCUGUAACUGACGCUGAGGCGCGAAAGCGUGGGGAGCGAACAGGAUUAGAUACCCUGGUAGUCCACGCCGUAAACGAUGAGUGCUAAGUGUUAGAGGGUUUCCGCCCUUUAGUGCUGAAGUUAACGCAUUAAGCACUCCGCCUGGGGAGUACGGCCGCAAGGCUGAAACUCAAAUGAAUUGACGGGG
RNAcentral lists this ribosomal RNA (589 nucleotides) under uncultured Bacillus sp. Its description in RNAcentral is "bacterial SSU rRNA". It matches the Rfam family "Bacterial small subunit ribosomal RNA", at positions 340 to 918 of the family's 1533-position model. Lineage: Bacteria; Bacillati; Bacillota; Bacilli; Caryophanales; Bacillaceae. The record is from RNAcentral.